Molecule: transfer RNA, 87 nt
Filed under: Clostridia bacterium
Lineage: Bacteria; Bacillati; Bacillota; Clostridia
Description: tRNA-Leu
Rfam family: tRNA
About the family: Transfer RNA (tRNA) molecules are approximately 80 nucleotides in length. Their secondary structure includes four short double-helical elements and three loops (D, anti-codon, and T loops).
Source: RNAcentral
GCCGCGGUGGCGGAAUCGGCAGACGCAGCAGACUCAAAAUCUGCCGUACGUAAGUACGUGGGGGUUCAAGUCCCUUCCGCGGCACCA